This 25-nucleotide non-coding RNA is filed under the name Rattus norvegicus (Norway rat). Lineage: Eukaryota; Metazoa; Chordata; Mammalia; Rodentia; Muridae. The record is from RNAcentral.
UAGGAAAAUGAUGGAGUGAGCCACC